This 466-nucleotide ribosomal RNA is filed under the name uncultured bacterium. Its description in RNAcentral is "bacterial SSU rRNA". It matches the Rfam family "Bacterial small subunit ribosomal RNA", at positions 917 to 1382 of the family's 1533-position model. The record is from RNAcentral.
GGACCCGCACAAGCGGUGGAUUAUGUGGAUUAAUUCGAUGCAACGCGAAAAACCUUACCUACCCUUGACAUGUCCUGGAGCCUGGUGAAAGCCGGGUGUGCCCGAAAGGGAACGGGAACACAGGUGCUGCAUGGCUGUCGUCAGCUCGUGUCGUGAGAUGUUGGGUUAAGUCCCGCAACGAGCGCAACCCUUGCCAUUAGUUGCCACAUUCAGUUGGGCACUCUAAUGGGACUGCCGGUGACAAACCGGAGGAAGGUGGGGAUGACGUCAAGUCCUCAUGGCCCUUAUGGGUAGGGCUUCACACGUAAUACAAUGGCGCGUACAGAGGGCAGCGAAGGGGCGACCUGGAGCCAAUCCCGACAAAGCGCGUCGUAGUCCGGAUUGCAGUCUGCAACUCGACUGCAUGAAGUCGGAAUCGCUAGUAAUCGCGGAUCAGCAUGUCGCGGUGAAUACGUUCCCGGGUCUU